UACCAGCACCCCGAGUGGUUGGGACGAUUAUUGGGCCUAAAGCAUCCGUAGCCGGCCUUACAAGUCCCCCGUUAAAUCCAACUGCUUAACAGAUGGGCUGCGGAGGAUACUAUAAGACUAGGAGGCAGGAGAGGCAAGCGGUACUCAGUGGGUAGGGGUAAAAUCCGUUGAUCCAUUGAAGACCACCAGUGGCGAAGGCGGCUUGCCAGAAUGCGCUCGACGGUGAGGGAUGAAAGCUGGGGGAGCAAACCGG
RNAcentral lists this ribosomal RNA (253 nucleotides) under uncultured bacterium. RNAcentral's name for it is "partial 16S ribosomal RNA". It matches the Rfam family "Archaeal small subunit ribosomal RNA", at positions 474 to 727 of the family's 1478-position model. The record is from RNAcentral.